Molecule: ribosomal RNA, 253 nt
Filed under: uncultured bacterium
Lineage: Bacteria
Description: partial 16S ribosomal RNA
Rfam family: Bacterial small subunit ribosomal RNA
Source: RNAcentral
CACGUAGGGCGCGAGCGUUGUCCGGAAUUAUUGGGCGUAAAGAGCUCGUAGGCGGCCUGUUGCGUCCGCUGUGAAAGCCCGGGGCUUAACCCCGGGUCGGCAGUGGAUACGGGCAGGCUAGAGGUAGGUAGGGGAGAAUGGAAUUCCCGGUGUAGCGGUGAAAUGCGCAGAUAUCGGGAGGAACACCGGUGGUGAAGGCGGUUCUCUGGGCCUUACCUGACGCUGAGGAGCGAAAGCGUGGGGAGCGAACAGG